RNAcentral lists this ribosomal RNA (228 nucleotides) under uncultured bacterium. RNAcentral describes it as "partial 16S ribosomal RNA". It matches the Rfam family "Bacterial small subunit ribosomal RNA", at positions 109 to 334 of the family's 1533-position model. The record is from RNAcentral.
AGUAACACGUGAGUAACCUGCCCCCUUCUUCUGGAUAACCGCAUGAAAGUGUGGCUAAUACGGGAUAUUCUGCGCCUGCUGCAUGGUGGGUGUGGGAAAGAUAUUGUUUCGGUGGGGGAUGGGCUCGCGGCCUAUCAGCUUGUUGGUGGGGUGAUGGCCUACCAAGGCGGUGACGGGUAGCCGGCCUGAGAGGGUGGACGGUCACACUGGGACUGAGACACGGCCCAG